UUUUCUGGAAUGGUAAAGCACAAGGGUUGAAAUCCGAACCUUAAACACACACACACACACACACACACACACACACACACGCGCGCAAAGCAAAACCUGUCUAUAUUGCUCCAUCAUAAGAUGUAUCUCUGGAUGGAACUUUUCAAAACUAACGAGGUGGGGAUAGAAGGGUGGAGGAUGUCAUAUCUUAAGCAUGUUUUCUCAUUAGCACUUCUACAUUGUGCGUUGAUUUGAAUUUAGUUGUUGGUAUUUUUUUUUUUUUUUUGCUCAUUUCUCACCACCACUUCUCGAUUUAUCCUUUCAUCUAUUAAUGAGGAAGCAUUAAUAGAUCAGAAGAUGAGUAGCGAGGAGUUAAAUAUAAGUAGGAACAAAUACUCUAUGAGUUGGUGGGUAGAUUUUUCUAGGCUGUGUUGGUGUAAGAGAAUAAUGACUAAAUUGAAAUCAUUUUAAAAUAAUUUGAGGGCACCUGGGUGGCUCAGUCAGUUAAGUAUCUGACUCUUGAUUUCUGCUCACCUCAUGAUUUCACAGUUCAUGAGUUUGAGUCCUGCGUCGUGCUGUGUGCUGACAUCAUGGAGCCUGCUUGGGAUUUUCUCUCUCUCUUCUGCCCUUUCCCCAUGUGCACAUGCUCUGUCUCUCUCGAAAUAGAUAAAUAAACUUAAAAAAAAUAAUUUGUUCCUGGGCCUGUCUUCCCCACUAAAUUAUAUGCUCUUCUGUGGGGGGGGGGGGGUAUGUCAUCUCUUAAACAUUUAUAUCUCUCCAGCAUUCAUUAGGAGUAUCUGGCACUUAAUAGGGCUCAUUAUUUGCUGACCUGAACUUAACCAAUUGGCAUCUGGCAUGACUUGAUUUAGGACAUAAGUUGGAAAAACACUGUUUUGUAUUUUCAACAACCAGGACUGACCAUGUUCAAAACCAAAACAUUACAUUGGAAAAAAUAACUUUCCAGCCUUCUAAUCUUUUGGUCCUUACUGCCUGAAAUAGCAUGGAGUAGAGUCCUAUCUUUUGAAUUGCAUACAGAAAUCUCAUCCCUGCUACAACAAUAACAACAUAUUUAUUGAUCAAUUACUAUGUGCCUGGCAUAGUCCUACAUCUUAGAUGCAUUAACUCAUAUAAUCAUCAGAGGAAGCAGCAUUAUGGGAUAGGCACUCUUACUGUCUCCAUUUUAUACAUGUAGAAACUGAUGUAAAUGGAAACUUCUAUACCUUUCCCAAGGAGAUGUAUAUAACUUUCCCCAAAUACAAAUGUAGUGAGUGGUAGAGCAGGGAUUCAAACCCAGAAUGUCUAGCUUCUGCAUCUGUGUUCUUAGCCACUACACUGUAUUUCCUCUCUGCAUUAAGUAGCCAUGUAGACCAAAGAACCUUGAUGGUGGUUGUGGAAAGAGGAGCAGUAAAGCCAGGUGGUACCUCCUGGGACAAAAGUAAGGCAGUGCCCUGUGUCUACCCUGGCUUCCUGUGGGGUGGAGCCAGCCUGGAAGCAAUGUCUCCCUCCCUGUGACAUGUUUCGAAACCUUGGUGACCAACAUGGCUCUGACCCAGUUAAAUGGAUUAGUGAUUUCAGUUAAUACCAGCAGCACCACCAACCAGGCUGGCUUUCUUUUCCACACAUGCUCUUCUUUAAUUGGUACAGACAUAAAUUGAAAGAUGACAUUAUGUGAAUAAUAUAGUGUACAAAUGAAUAGUUUUCGGCAUCUGACAGGAUGGAAUAUAAAGGUUGGCUUCAACCAGGCCAGCUGGAUCUUAGUGACUAUUGCUGCUACCUAAUUGCUAGAUUUACAGUAUCACAUUGAAUUGAUUAAGGAAUCUCCUGAAGCUGUUGUUGAAACAAGUUCCUCAGUUGUCUAGACUUUCUACAGCUACUUACAGAAAAUAGCAAGAUAUUAUAAAGAGAUAUUGGAGGCAGUAGUGGGGGCAGGUGUGGGGAGUGUCUGUGAAUGACUUCCAGCAGUGAAUUAAUCAUUAACCCUGCACAUACAAUUCUUUGUGUACACAUUGACUUCUUUUCAUUGGUAGCCCAACUCAUACUCUAAGUCAAAGCUUUGUAUGUAGAAACAUGGGGAAAUAGUUCAAGAUAAUAAUAAAACCUCAGACUUUUUUGUGAUAUGAAAUAAGCAGAAUAUUGGUCUACCUCCUUCUAAAUAAAUGGGCAGAGGGCCUGGGUGGCUUAGUCAGUUGAGCAUCUGACUCUUGAUUUUGGCUCAGGUCAUGAUCUCAUGGUUCAUGGGAUCAAACCCUGUGACGGGCUCUAUGCUGACAGCAUGGAGCUUGCUUGGAGUCCUCUCUCUCUCUCUCUCCCCCCACCCCAAUAAAUAAAUAAGCUUUAAAAAGAAAGAAAGAAAGAAAUGGGCAAAUGAAAGAAGGCAACCCCAUUUCUGUAAUCUCCUUAUAGAAGAUCUCCAUAUUGUAAACAGAUUGCUUUUCCAAAAGUCAAUCUCUACCAUGAUUGUUACAAACUCAGAAGAAAUUUUCUCUAGACAGAACAUGAAAAAUUGUAGGUAGAACUCCAGGCUAACCCACAAGAGUGAGUGUAACUAAAAUGCUACAUAUUUGUUACAGAAGAAAAGUAGAAAAUAAUCCUGUUGAAAUAUCUUCAAGAAGUUUCAUAAGAUAUCAUUUCACUUUGAAAGCAAAUACUUAAGAAAAAGCAGUUUUAAUUAAGAUUUGGCUUACAGAAAUGAGGUUCUGUGCAGAUACCGAAGGGGUUUUCAGGAAACUUUGAGGAAGUUAGAGGUUUAUAGCACAACCCUGAUGUAUCUCAAGUAUCCAGAAUAGUCCCAGACACAUUGUUGGAUGUGCAGUGAAUACAUAUUGAGUGCCUGCUGGUUGAACUUUAUUUUCACUUCAGGAACUAUGACUUUCCCAUCUCUUAUAAAGGCACAGUCAUUAGAGCUAUAUUCAUGUCAUAGAUGAAAUAAAGAAGGGGAAAGAGGACAAAGGGGAAUGUUGAGAAGCACUGAUGUGACAUGUAGGUUACCUGAAACAUAAUUAAUGAUCAAUAAAGAAAAACCCAGAGAUUACUUUGCAUGGUCCUCUCCUCAUCCUUUUACCCAAGGCAAAAUAAAGAAGGGGAUAGGAAAAGUUUUGUGCCUUGCAUUUCCUGGGCCAGCCACCAAGAGGUGCUGGCCAGAGCUCUUUGCAGGUGGGAGAAGAGAGAAGCCGAAAUAAGAUUCUUUUGAGUGUAUAGCCUUAGUUAGAGAGGGAGUGUUGUAUAUCUUUAAUGGAUUAUAUGUAGAGGAUAUAUUUUAAAUCUUCAUUAAUGAAUGAAAAUAUUAAACUGGUAUAGGAUAUUGGAAAGAGCACUGGGCAAAGAGUCAGACCUGCAUUUCAACUUUUAGCUCCUCUACUUAAUAGUCACAUCACCUUGGCUGAGUUUCAUUUUUUUAAAACUUACUUCUCUUUUCUGCAAAAUGUGGUGAAAAACUUUCUUCCUUUUCUAUUUACUGUAAUUGUGAUUCAGUGAGAUUCUGCUCAAGAAACAACUUAGAAGACUGUAAAAUGACAUUUAUAUUUCCAAAAGUGUAAUGAUUUAUUCACCCAGGAAAGUGAAGAUGUUGGGCCAGGUGACCUCUGAGAUCAUUUCUCCUCUGAAAUUCUGAUGAUCAGCACGGCCUGGGUUUAAAUUAUCAUGUUAUUCCUCAUCAACAGUUUACUAAUGUCACUGACCCAAGAAAGAGGAAUGCUGUGGCCCAUUACAGGCUAUGCCCCUGGUUUGCUGAACAGUUUGUGCCUGGAUUCUACUUCAAAGGACAACUGAGGAGCCCAUGAAACAUUUUGAACCAAGUUUUCCAGAGAUGGAUAAGCAAAGCCCCAAGGGGAUGAGACCCUGGAAAUCAGACAUGUUUGGAUGAGAAGAGAGCUGAGAAACCACCUAAAACCUGGCUAGCUGGCCCAGGCAGAGCAGGUGAGAUGUGUGGUCCCAUGGGCACCCCUGCACCCACACAGGAACCAAGGUGAGAGACAGACAGAACAGCAGUAGCCACGAAGACAAACUUCACCCACUCACGCUUCUGCCUGGGGCCAACCUGGAAACCACAAUGAAGAGCCCCUGUAGUGCCAGAUAGACUUGUCCCAAUGCUGAGAACUGUGCCAGUUUCUAAAGUAACAACUUGCCCCUGUCCCCCACAGAGCGCCUGGUGCCAUCUGCUGAGAUUCUUUCAGUAAGUAUUAUCUGGCUUAUACCAGAUAUUUUUGAGGGAACAAAAGGAAGCUUUCGUUUUGAAACAUCCCUUCUCACGUGUUAGCACAGUCCUUAAAUAAUGCACCUUUGAGGUUCUGAGUAAUUCUUCCUGCUGUCAGCCCUGAGCGUGUCUGGAUGCCAAGAAUUUGCUUGAAAUGCACGGGAUGCCCUAUCCUAGCUUGAGCUGAAAAUGUGGUUUUGAGGACCCAGUAGCGUUGAGAUCCUGUUGCUGUCCUCCCUGGGUUCUGGGACCCAGUGGCUGUGUGGUCAGGGGCAAACCCACCCUCUCUCUGGGCUUCUCUGUCCUCCUGUGUCAGGGAGGAGUUUGGAUUUGACUGCUUCUCAUUCCUGGCUGCACAUUAGAAUCACUUUAAAAAACAAUGCCAGGACUGCGCACCCAGGAAUCCUUACUUAAUUGGUUGGGGUGUGGCCAGUCCUGAGUAUUUUUAAAAACAGUUUUCCAGGUCUGCAAUUGCUGAGUUAAAUGAUCUCUGGAACCUUCCAGGUUCUAUAAAAGUCCAAAAUCCUGAUAGUCUUGUCCUCCAUUGUAUUUAUUGAAUUAAUUUUUUCCCAGACAUAUUUUUUUUUAAUUUUCAGUAUGUUACAUAGGCUAAUUUUUAGAAAUACCUUUAAUCAUAUACAAAUGAUAUAUUAUUAAAGUAUUGUUUGUUGGGGUAUAAUGGCAUAUAAUACUGCAUGUGUCUAAAAUAUACGAUCUGAUAUAUUUUCACAUAUAAGUAAUAGUUACCACAAUCACAAUAGUGAACAUACCCAUCACCCCCAAAGUUUUCCAUGCCCCUUGGUGAUCCUCUUACCCCUUUUCUCUCCCAUCCUCUUCCCCAGGUAACCACUGAUCUGCUUUCUGUUACUAUAGUUUGCAUUUUCUAUCAUUUCAUACCAGUGGAAUCAUACAAUAUGUACUAUUUUUCACUUGGCUUCUUUUUUAAAAAUAUUUUUUUUAUAUUUUAGAUAGAGAGAGACUGAGCACAAGUGGGUGAGGGGCAGAGAGAGAAGGAGACACAGAAUCCGAAGCAGGCUCCAGGCUCUGAACUGUCAGCACAGAGCCUGACACCGGGCUCAAACUCACAAAUUGUGAGAUCAUGACCUGAGCUGAAGUCAGACGCUCAACCAACAGAGCCACCCAGGCGCCCCUCGCCUGGCUUCUUAUUAUGUCCUUAUACUUCAGAUAUCAAGCUUUUUGAGAACAGGAUCCACCUUUUAUUUCUUUUCUCUUCCUCCAGGACCCCAGCUUAUCUUUGCCCCAAGAAACCCUUUAGCCAUUAUUUGCUUGAUGGGAAUCAGACCUUUAUGACCUUAGAAGUGAGCUUCAGUUUGGUGUCCAACCCCCUGCUGCUUCUCUGUAGGUUCCUAGUCAGCAGCUUCAGCUCAGUGUAAAAAUAAUGCAUUAGCUUAAAUGCAUUCAUUUGGGGUGCGUGGCGUUCUAGGGCUCCAGAAAAUGAGUGUUGUGUGUCAAGGUAUGUGUUGAGGCAGGGGCAACUACCUGGGCAAGGUCCUUGGCUUUCACCGAUUCUUAAUCACUAGAUUUUUUUUUUUUUUCAGAGAGAGAAGAGAAAGAGAGAGAGAGACCGGGGUGGGGAGGGGCAGAAAGAGAGUGGAGCUUGACUUGGGGCUCGAUCUCACUACCCCGAGAUCAUGAUCCCAAGAUCACCUGAAAUUGGACACCCAACUGACUGUGCCACCCAGGCGCCCCACCAGAUUCUUGACCCAAAAGGAGGAACUAUAGAAUUUAUGUCAUGCUUUAGUUCUAUUAUAAUCCUAUAUAUAUUUUACAAAUAUGAUGUCUAAUCGUAACUCCUCUACGUCUGUCCCCUCUCCUCCCUAGCCCCUCUCCUUUGUUUUGUUCUCUGCCUGCUCUGAUUAUACUCUCCCUCCUUUGCUAAAGAUCCAAUAGGCCUGUUGAGUGGCAGUGCGGCUCCACAGGAACUUUUUGCCUGGCCCUUCUCUUUAAGACCUUCUCACCUAAGUCAUGUGGAGUGUUGUGCCUCUUUAGUCAAUGAUUCUUAUUCCCCUUUGUUUAGCGCAUUCCCCGAAUACCUGGAUACCCAUUGUGCUCAAAUAUCACAAACCUAUAUUUCCUCAAAACCCAGAGCAUGGGAUUCCUUUUUACCUUAAGCAAGAUCAGUGUUUGCAUUGUUGUAAAUUAGUAUUAUAAGAACCGGACCUAACAAGAAAUAGCACUGCAAAUUCACAAUUGAACCACCUCUACUUAAUCCAGAGAUAGCCCCUCUUAUCCCCCUAUAUAAAACACACAAAAAAAUUUUAAUAAUACUGUGUCUGAUUUUAGACUGAGAUGAAUAAUAGCAACAUCAGCUUCUAAAUGAUAAAUCCCUAUGUAUCUGGCACAGUCACACAAACAGUGGUUUCCAAGUGGCUUCCAGAGAUAGGAGAGAGCAAGAAAAACAUCUUACCUUCUGGCCAAAAGGCCAAAAUAGACUCUACCUUGCUCCAAGUCCACCUCAACCCCUUGCAUGUUUGCAAGGGUCUGAUAUACUACACCCAGCAAUGUUCUCUGGCUCCCUGCUUGGGACUAACUCUUAACUUUUAUUCUCCCUUUCACCUCUAUGCUUCCCCAGCAGAAUAGUGGCUAUGGGAACUAUAACAUUUCAGUCCAGUUUCUACACAAUCUCAUUCCUCUGCAAUAAAGGCAAACCUCUGAAAGUUACUUACGUGGCAGUGGCAAAGACAAGCCCUGGAUUUGGAAGCUGAGUUUGCUGAUGCCAGCCCGCUUAAAUAGCUGGGUUGGCUGACGCAGGCUGUUGAUAGCACGUUUAUUUACGCCUGUGAGUGCACGCUCAAGCAAGGACCUGAAAAACCUGCGGUGUGGGCAGGAGGAAGGCAGCUGAAAGUAUGCCGAAGUUACAUCUCUCCUGGUUAUUCAAGUUUGAUAUGCAGGCGGUGACUUCUGAGUUUUCAUGGAACUUUCUCAGCACCACCUUCUUGUGCCUGAUCUCUUUCUUAGCCAAGUAAGACUCUUCAACCAAGAUUAGAUGGGAGAUGCUGCUGAGUGAGGAAGGAAGCAACAAAGGACCCUGAACCCCUGCACCAAGUUCCUUAUUUUGAAUGGGCUUCCAGUUAGAUGUUGCCUCAUUUUAAACCAUAGGCUUGGUGAGGUUGAUUUCACAGCCCUGUGGGCUGGAUGCCAAGCUAAGAGCUUGGACAAUUGCCCAAUUGAUGAAAAGUUGUUUUGUUGUGUUUUGUCUCCAGGCACAGAAUGCACAAAUAAAGAACAGUUAUAGGGGAGGUUCAGCCUGGGAUGAUACAAUUUUAGGUCCCCUUCAGAAACUAUUUUGAUUUCUUUCUUCUGCAUCUGUACUUUCCUCCUGACUUCCCCUCCCCUUCCUUUGUUAAUGAAAUUCCUAUCUAAGAGUUGAAAGAUUCCCCAUGAGAGCUCAAAUAAAAAGCCAGUGUGUGAACAAGCCUGUGGGAAGAUGCACUCCAAAUGGGAGAGAGUGUGCAGUGGUUCGUGUGACCAUCAGUGGAAAUGUUUCUGAAGACGUUUUCCUUGGUGGGCUUCAGGAACUCUUGUGUCCAUUGUCACAGAUCAAGAGAAUUAGGACAGAGGAUGCCGUGAGCUAGAUGUUAAGCUCCAAGAAAAGAACAAUGUAUGGGAAAUGAGUCUUCCCUGAUGGAAGUAACACUUGGCAGCAAAGAAGAAAAAGAAGAUGGCUGUCUGGUCCAGAGCAACUAGAGGGAUCAUUGCUCCAUUAACCAAAGCCUCCGUGAUGGCAGAAGGAUGGCCCCCCAAAGAUGGCCAUGUCCUAAUCCCCAGAACCUGUGAGUGUGUUAUCUUGCUUGGCAAAAGGGACUUGGAAGCUAUGCUUAGGGUGUGGGUGUGGAGGUGGUCCUGGAUUACCAGGUGGGCCCAAUCUAAUCACAUAAAGCAGAAGAGGCAAGCAGAAGAGUGAGAGAUCUGCUGUUGAGGACUUGACCCUCUACUACUGGCUUUGAAAAUGCAGGAAGGGGCCACAAGCCCACAGCAAAGAGCAGAGGACCUCAGUCGUACAACUGCAUGGAACUGAAUUCUGCUGGCAAACCCAGUGAGCAGGGAAACAGAUUCUUCCCCCCAGGAGUUUCCGUUUCUGGGUGUAUGAUUCUGGACAUAGCUCAGCUGAGAUCUUUGCUUCAGGAUCUCUCGAAGACCGCAACCAAGUUUCAACAGAUCCAUUUCCAACUCACUCAAUGGAUAUUGGCAGUUCCUUACAGACUAUUGGAUUGACAGCCUUACAGGCUGUUGGCCACAGGCUUCCCUCAUUUACUUGCCAUAUGUGCCAUUUGUGCUUGUCCCACAAGGCAUCUGACAUCAUCAAAAGCAGCAAGAGAGAGAGUCUGCUAGCAAGACCCAAAUCAUAACCCUUUGUAACCUAAUCACAGAAAUGGCAUCCCAUCAUUGUUGCCAUAUUCUGUGAGUUACAGACAAGUCACCAGGUCCAGCCCACCAUCAAAGGGAGUGGUUUACACAAGAGUGUGAAUUCCCAGAGAUGGGAAUCAUUGGGGGUCAUUUUAGAAAUCUGCUUAUCACAACCACCUAAACCUUCAUUCUUUCCCAAAACUUAGAAUCUGUUUGCUGAGAUAAUUCUCUGGUAGUCUUCACCAUCUUGGUUGAACUGAAGCAGAAAAAUCUCAUAACCUUAAAUUUCCUGUACUAUUAAUAGUGAAUGCUUAUAUAGUGCUAACUACAUGCCAGGAUUUACAUGAGCUUUCUACGAGCUUUACAAAUAUUAACUUGUUUAAUCCUUACAACAACCCUCUGAAGUGGACCCUCUUGUUAACAUGUUUUUCAAAAAAGCACCUAAGUUACAGAGAAGUAAGUGUCUAGCCAAAGGUCACAUAGCUAUUAAGUGGUAGAAAUGGCAUCUGAGAUUCAAGAGUUUGGUUCCAGAAUUCCUGCUCUUAACCAUUCUGCUAUUCUACAACCUGAAUAUAACUGGGAUACAAUGUUGUCCAGUCGCAGCAUGUUAUGACAUUAAAACAAACAUUAAAAACAUUGAGCAACCAAAACAGAAAUUCCAACAUUUAUUUAGCAUUAAAAGAUUCUGUCGAAACCCUACAGCAACAUGUUUUGUGUCUCCAAGUCUUUUAUGUGCCAAGUCUUCCCUUCAAAUGUUCUCUGAAACCCAGCCCAGACUAUUUUUCAUUUUCUUUUUCCCUAUUUCUCUCUUAGCUCCUUAUUAUAUAGGUUGGCUUGGUCUUCUGGCUUCACUCUUUAGUGUAUUUAGCCCAUGACCUGAAUGUUCCAGAGCAAAGAGUAAUCCUGGAAUUGGCCAAGCCACCAGGAAUUUACCCCUUUUCCUCCUAACUGUCCAGUCUGGUUUCUCUCUCCCUGUUUCUAUGUCAUAAGGAGAGCAUAGAACUCAUAGACAUAACUCUCCUUCAAGUGAUGAGGGGAGAGGAAGAAACUGAGCAAUCGAGAAAAUUCUUGUUAGAUGGUGGGGGGUGUGGAGGGUAGGAACACAUAAGCUGAUAAUUCUUAUCUUUGUCACAUUCCAAAAGAUGCAUGACUGUUAUAUAAUGUUCUGUCACAGAUGAGGCUGCCAAGUGGAGAAGAUUCCUUCUCAGAUCUUGCUCAUCUAGCUCUUUCCUCUGAGGUUGUGAAUUGGGGUAAAGCACAUGAAUAACCAGGGAGAAUGAGAGAUGCUUCUAGUUCUCCAAGUCCCUCUGCCAACCAACAGACCCAGGGUCCACACUUUGCUUCCAAGCCUGGGGUCUGUUCACUGGAAGGUUGUGAGAGCUGGUCCAGGAAAGAUGAAAGAGCCAUGCUUCAUUUUCUCUCAAACGACAGAACUGACAGUUAAAUCCUGUAGUAGCUACCUCUCUGCAAAGCCCCUCCAAUGGUCCCUCUUCUCCGUUCCUGCUGCCAACACCCCCAUUCAUAAUUUCUGCUCUGAUCUCUUCAACUGUCCUCCAAGUUAUCCCCCACUUCGUUUUUUUCCACCUCAAUCAAGUUCACAUACCACUGCUGGUUUAACCUUCCCCAGUGCCUUGCUCAAAAUCUCAGUUGCUCCCCUUUCUCUAUAAAUUCUCAUCAAAACCUUCAAAACCCCAAAAGCCCUCUUUCCAGACAUAUUCUUCCACAUGUAAUGUAUGACCCAUCUAAAAUAGAUGACUCACUGAUUGCCAAGGACUCUGCAUUUCUCGGCCGCACGCCUCCUACCCCCAUUAUUCCUCCUGCCUCUGAACCCCCCUCACCAUGGUAACAAAUUCAAAGACCAUCAGAAAAGACCACCUCCACUGAGAAAUAUAUCCAGAUAAUUACAACCGAGUGUGGUUUCUCCCUUCUUUCAUUCCCUAUAUCAUUCAUUUGAUCUAUAUGGCAUUUUCCUUAUACUACUAUAUCCACAUGCUACUCAAUUAUUAGAAAGUACAUGCUUUGAGAGAAGAGGUGUUUCUUGCUGAACUUCAAAGAUCCUACAGUGUCCAGCAAAAAGUCUUAAACAUGUACAUGUUAAACAUUCAGUAAGUCAUAUCUGAAUUGAUUAUCUAAUUUAUCAUUUUACAUCUUUUGCUAGAAUAAGCAAGACAUAUUCCUUUGAAGAAGGAGGGCAUGAAGAAAAGCACAGCAGUGGCCCUUGACCUGGGAGGUCAUAGUCUUGUAUAUUACACAGCUUGAAUUUCAUCAAAGUUCAUGAGCAUUUAGUCUCUGGGUGUUACCUAGUGAGCAAUGCUUUUAACUAACCUGACCUCAUGCUUUUCAACCCUGUCACCUACCACUGUCAGAGAGAGAGUGGCACAGGGCAUGUCAAACAGGAAAGACAGUUACAUCAAUUCAAGUCUGCAAAUACCCAUUCAACACCUACUAUGAGCCAGCAUUCUGCUAAGUGCUAGGGACAUAGAAAUGAACAAGAAAAAUGUGGCAUGGACAUCCCUUAAAUAUAAUUCCAGUAAGAGUAGCUACCAUGUACUGAUAGCUUAUAUACCAGGCCCUAGACUCAGUGUCUGACAUGCUUUGUCUCACUUAAUCCUCAUGGCAAUCCCUAGCAUCACCCUCAUUUAUAGUUAGGAAAAUGGAGGCUUAAUGAGGUCAAGUAUUUUGCCCUGGAUUAUCAGGCAGUGGACCUAGGAUUUAAACCUGGGGUUUAUGACAUGAGUUCAUUCUUAGAAGUACUUGCUUCGCUUCCUCAACACGUUUCUGUUCUGCUAAAAAUAGAUUCUUGCUCUUUUUAUUCUUUGAGUCUUGCAGUGUAGCUUUAGGUGAGGGUAUGUAUAACAUAAACAAUUUUGCCUUGCUUUUCCCUUGGAGAUUCCACAUGUCCAUAGAGCAGUCUACCCCUGGAUUUCUCCAACAUUCCUUCAUCUGCAAUACUCAGACUGAGAGAGCCUGUGGGCAGAGGCAAUGUAGGUUCAUACAGCUUAAAGAUAUCCCUCCCACCUUUCUCUGCCCUGAUACCCUUGACUAUGUGCUUUAUCCUUUUCUAUUGUAUGAGUUUUUGCAAAUCUCUUCAAAUUCUUUGUGGAACAGGUAGUGUAUAAGUAAAUCAAAUAUGCCUUACACCUGUUCAGUAUGUCACAUGAAUAUAGGCUAAUAGAUGCUUGAUGCGUGAAGAAGCCUGAAAGAAUGUCUUACCUAGUUUUUAUUUUGUUCCAUAGAAAUGCUUCCUUGGGGUUAUUGGGACCCUCACUCCCCACUGCUUCUGGAGCACUCCCCCAUAACUCUUUUGCAUAUAGAGCUUCCUGGAACAUUUCGUCUGAAAAAUGGAUUCUCUAACCAAUGAAUGUGUAGUUUCUCAUUGGAACCCUGUACAUUGCUGAUAGAAUGUAAAAUUGUACAACCCCUAUGGAAAAUGAUAUGGUGACUUCUCAAGACGUUAAACAUAGAAUUACCAUAUGAUCCAACAAUUUCACUUCUGGCUAUAUACCCAAAAUAAGUGAAAGCAGGGACUCCAAUACUUGCAUACUCAUGUUCGUAAUAACAUUAUUCACAAUAGCCAAAAGAUAGAAGCAACCCAAGUGUCCAUCAAUGGAUAAAUGGAUAACCAAAAUGUAUGUGUGUAUACACACACACACACACACACACACACACAUAAAAUUCAGGCUUAAAAAGGAAAUUCUGACACAUGCUACAAUAAGGAUGAACCUUGAAGAUAUUAUGCUGAGUGAAAUGAACCUGACACAAAAGGACAAAUAUAAUGUGACUCCAUGUAUAUGAGAUACCUAUAAUAGUCAAAUUCAUAGAGUAAGAAAGUAGAAUGGUGAGUGUCAGGGGCUGAGGAAUGAGGAGUUACUGUUUAAUAGGUAUGUAAUUUCAAUUUGGGAAAAUGAAGAAGUCCUGGAGAUGGAUGGUGCUGAUGGUUGGACAGCAGUGUGAAUACAUUUAAUGCCACUGAAUGAUAUAUACUUAAAAGUAGUUAAAGUGGUAAAUUUUAUAUAAUAUAUAUUGUACCACAUAUUUUUUUAAAGUUCCAUUUCUUGGGGCACCUGGGUGGCUCAGUUGGUUGAGCUUCCAACUUCGACUCAGGUCAUGAUCUCGCGGUUCAUGAAUUUGAGUCCCACGUCGGGCUCUGUGCUGACAGCUCAGAGCCUGGAGCCUGUUUCAGAUUGUGUGUGUGUGUGUGUGUGUGUGCAUGUGUGUGCCCCUCCCCCACUCACGCUCUGUCUCUGUCUCUCAAAAAUGAAUAAAUGUUAAAAAAAAUUUUUUUAAGUUCAAUUUCUCAUUUAAUGGAAGAGGAAUCUGAGUUUCAAGGUGAACUGGCUUGUCCAAGUGAAUGGCACAGUUGAGAAUAGUAGAACUCAGGGCUACAGGCCAUCAGACUGUGGCUUUCCCUGUUGUGACAGAUGUCUCCUCCUGGGAAUGAGGUGUCCAGAGGAUACUCCUGGGGAACUCCAGAAAUCAACAUUCUCUAGAGUCAGGAAGUAUUUCCACAGCAACCCACUUUCCUCCUCUGUGGCCUUGCUAUCUUCAUUCCAUCUUUUGCUUUGUCCCAUUUUUGUCUCCUUUUUCUCUCUGAACAAAAUGCUCUUGAUGGUCAAAGCAAGCAAGGUCCUCCUGGCAAGGCCCUGGAGAAACAAAUGCAGAUGGAAUGGCCUCCGGUGGAAAAUGUAUGUAUAGAAAGCAGUUUUUCUGUUUUCCCCAACUCUCUUGGCUCUGAACUGUUGGUAUUUUACUCAAAGUGGAAUUUUCAGCCCUAGCUAGGCUCCUAAUGCAAGAGUUUUGUUUUUCCAUGUGCGUCCCUCCUGAGCAUGGAUGCUCCUGCUGCUCUGCCUGUUGAGCUUGAACAGUGCCUCCAUUAUUGGAAAAGCAUGCCCUGACAAGCUCUGAGGGCACAUCCUAUCCAACCUGAGAGAGGGCACACCCUUGGGAAACAGGUUGUUUCACCCACUGAGGACACAUCUGCUCCCUUAAGAAUGCUCAGGAUACCAGGAGAGAGGCCUCAGUGUGACUCAAGUCAAGAUUUUAUUUGGUCUUUGGAUAGACCAAAGGCUUAACCUAGGGUAGGAAGGCAAAGAAAGGUGUUGAGAGUUUGAAAACCACUCAGAUAGCUAAGGUGAACCUUCCACAAGUAGAUCAGCUAGUGCCAUGAAGGGAAACAGUUUUUUAACUGUUAGUCAAUAAAUAUUUACUGAGCAUCUAUCAUGGGCUAGACAUUAUAUUAGAAGCUGAGGACAUCUGAUGAAUGACAAAUAAUCCUUUGCCCUCAUGGAUCUUAUAGUGUAGUGGAGGAAGGAGAUAAGUAAGGACACAACUAAAUAAGAACAUUAUAGUGAAGUGCUGAGGAGGAAACAGUGAGAUGAUGGGGGGUAAGGAGUUAUACUGCUGCUUUAGAUGAGGUGAUUGGAGAAGGCCACCAUGAGAAAGCAAAUCAAAGCUGAGGCCUGAAAGAUAAUAGGUAUAUAUGAAAAGCCAGAACAACGUAUGCAAAGGCUACAAGAAAGAGGGUGGCAUGUGUGAAUACCGGAGAGGCCACUGUUGUGGCAGGACGAUGGAUAGUGAAGGAAGUAAGAGACCAGGACUUAUGGGUCUUGGUGGGGACCCUAGAGUAAGGAGUUUAGCUUUUUUCAAAGGGCAGCAGGAAGCCUUUGAUGGUUUAAACAUAGAUGGAAAUGAUUCUUAACAGACCUCACAUCCUUGUCUGAGACCUUCCUACUGUGAUCAUUCAAUUCCCCAAAUUACUGGGUCCCAGUUUUAAAUAAGCCCUUCUCCACUCUCAUGCUGAAGAGUAGAAAUUGGGCUGUCAAAUUCCAGAAACCCACAAGAUUCCUGAAUGGACUGGCCAUGUUAAAUCAACUUGCAUAUGUUUCCAUCUCUUCAUCUGCUUUCAAGGUGUUGGAAUUCAGCAUUAAAAGCCUCCUCCUGUCUGAGGCGUGACAAAGCAGAAAGAAGCUCAAGGGCGUAUCAUUGAUCUCACUACAUCUGGAGUAAAGAUCAGUCCAGCUGAUCUUUAAAUUAAAAGUACAGAUUUCCUUUCAUGCCUCCUCGAACUUAACAACUAAAAUUAAGCAACAGGCAUUGAACUGGUGAACAACACAUUCAUCAAAAUCUAUCUGGGCAUAUUUAUUUAUCAAAGCUACAAUUAACCUUAAUGGAGUCUCACCCAUCUCAUCCCUGUGGCCCCACCCUCACCCCCACCUGUAACCCAGAAAAAUAGAAACUGUUUUAUGGGAGCAUAUGGACCCAGAGCCCUUUUACAGAGUAAUCAUCUAUGUCCUGCUCCCUAAAACACUGGACUGGACUAUGGGGCAUGGAAAACAGGUUGACAUCUGGAAGAAAUGUAGGGAAAGUAUAUGUUCCAGCUGGAAAGGUGGGAUUCUGGCCCAUUUUUCUUUCCACUGAAGGACUGUCUUAACUUGGUCACUUACAGUAUUCCUGGCUCCUGCUUGACUUCUUUCUUUUCUUUCAUUUGUCCCACAGAUAUUUUUUGAGCAGUUAAUACACAUCAUGCAGAAAUGUCUUUAUGAAUCUUUUCUGGAAUGAUAUAGUAGAAGAGCUUGAAUUCUGAAGUCAGGAGACCUCAGUUUUGAGUCCAGGAAGAUGUUGCUUGUCUGGAGCAAAUAAUUUUAGGGUUCCCAAAAUUUUAGUAUCUGUUUUGGCGAUCUAAAACCUAUUCUGAGGAUCAAGUAUAAUAAUGAGUAUGAGAGUUCUGUAAAUCAUAAAGUGUUCAAAAUGAUAGUUGGUUUUUGAGGAUAUUGCAUUUUCAUCCUUGUGGUCACUCAUUACCUCUCCAGAGGAAGCUAACAGAGGUUCAAAGUUUCAUUUGUACAUGCUCCAUCCAAGGUCCACUGAGCAUUCCUAACAAUGUAUUCUGAUGGUCAUAUAUAUGUCUUUGUAAAAUUUGGGAAAUAAUGAUAUUUUAAUAGCAACUGGUUAAGAUCACUAUGUCUUUCCUUUGUGACUUUUCACCAUCAAUCUUUACCUAUUAAACAGUGAUGAAUGACAAUAGGCAUUUUUGGUAUCUGGUCAAACAGAAGUUGAGUUGGGGAUGCAUGACGUUUGGGCUGUGUGGCACAUGUUUCUGUAGUUUGCAGCCACUUCCAUGUUUAGGGUUAGGUCAGGUUAUCACCAGGCCUAUUGUAGGAAUGGUUUCCAUGAAUAUUUCUGACUCUACAAGGUCAACUCAUUUGGCACCAUAACAUAAAGUGCAGGGCCAAGGGCAAAAUUGUGAUAUGAACAUGUCCCAUGGUAUCCAGCACCCAGUAAUGGAAGAGCAAUAAGGUUUGGAACAUAUGGGAACAAAAGAUAGUCUUCAGAAUGUUCUUUGAAUCAUUAGAUACGUACAAUUCUAAGUGGAAGUUUCAGUUCUCAUUGACACCUGGUUAAAAGUUUGCUGCUAUCAGAAAUAUACUUGAAAAAAAAGAAAUAUAGUUGAUAGUAUAGUGUACACAAUUAUUAAACCAUCAUAUUUUUUUCUUUUUUGAUGGGAAUCUUGCAAAAUAUAAUUGAUCACAAUCCCUAGGUUUAUAGGUCAUGAACUUGUGGCAGUAUUACCAAUGGAAGGCAUAUGUGUGUGUGAAGUCUGAUUUUAUGCAUCAUCACAUCAAAUAAGAUCACCUCUUAGAAUAUCUGAUACUCCUUGUGCUAACAAAAAUCUGUUGGUUGAUGAAAAUGCAUACAACGUUGCCUCAGAUACAGCAAAAUGGCCUGAAGAAGUAAAUGUUCUAUGUCAAAACUCCCAUACAUAUUCAUUAAUAUAUCAAUGUAAGUAAUAUAAAAAUAAUUUGAUUACAUGAUUUUGCAGAUCAAUAUAACAAGAAGCAAGUUAAAAUUGCUCUUCUGUAUGCCUUAAUUUCAGAAUAAUUUUGUAUGUUUUUUAGAAUUACUGAUCAUAUAAAAAUUACCCCAAAACUUUAUAGAGGCAUGUUGGGUAGUGAAUAAAGAAGAUAAUGUUACUUUUUUGAAUUUGAUGUUUGUAACAUUUGCCAGCUUUUUUACAGUUGAAAAUUACUAUGAUUUCUUUUCUCAUUCUAAAUAUUUAAUGUUUUUUAUACAUACUUAAUUUUGUACUCUUUUUUUAAAGAGGGCCCCCAAAUUGUAUAAAUUUCAGGCCCAUCAAAGUCUGGAUCCAACCUGCCUGAUUUGGUGAAAAAUGUGGUUCCUCCCACCCUGCUGUAAACAGAAGUCUAGUAUCCCUGCCCCACUUACAGCUCCAUCCUUCAUGUAAGAGCUCUAAAGCCAAGAGUGCACACUGCAGAUAGCAGGGCCUGUCACCCAGGAAAAGAAGCAGAGCCCGAGUCUGCCAAUGAAAAGAGUCUAACUAACAGGUUCCUGUAAUUUUGGGUUGGGGUAAGAUGCCAAGAGAGGGGAAAGAAGGAAGGAAACUGAAUUGGUUACCAAGGCAAAUGCUCUCAGAUAAAAGCCUUACAGAGCCAGCUCACAGUGAGGAUAUUAAAAGAUUGUUUACACAUCUCACCCCAUACUAUUAUUUCAGUGACAAUAACUAACCAUAGGGAAAUACCCCUGUGUGGUGGAGAGUGUUAAUUGUCUGCCAAAACCCAUCUCCUUCCUUCCAUAGAUGUUGAUUUUAAGCCAGACAAAUAGACACUCACAUAGAGAUUCCACUUCCCCGGGUCCUUUGUGACUGGCUGCACCCAUGUGACUAAGUUCACCAAUGGCAUGUGAGCAGGAGAGAUGUGUGGCCCAUGUACCUGGCUUGCUUUUAUUUUUUAUUUUAUUUUUUAAAAUUUAUUUUGAGAGAAAGAUGUGAACAAGGGAGGAGCUGAGAGAGAGGGGUUGGGUGGGGGUGGGAAUCCCAAGCAAGCUCCAUGCUGUCAGUGCAGAACCUGACUCAGGGCUCGAACUCACGAAAUGUGAGAUCAUGACCUGAGCCAAAACCAAGAGCCCAACGCUUAACUAACUAAGCCACCCAGGCACCCCCCUGGCUUGCUUUUAAUGAGAAAUUGUUUCCUUGGACUUUUUCGUCUUCCCUCCCUGCCAGUUGGGAAGUGACAGUCUUACUUUCAAACAUGAAGAUGAGAACAAUGAACUGAGCCAGAAGUUUCCAACUUUUCAGUUCAUAGUUACCCUUAGUAUCUCAGUAAUUUUAUCACAAUGCUCCUGAGCCAAGAGAAAGAACUAACAGCUCCGUUUAUUAAGUAGCUUUGUCCGAACAACCUAAUCAGUACUUACGUCCUAACAACUUAGUGUUAAGAACUGUGAAGGGUCUGAGAUUUUAUCCUAUUUGCAAGCUAAUGAGUUAGCCAGUCACAUUUCAUGGAGGUUGGCAGAAGACAUGAGACUCCUGGGUCAGAGAGGCAGGAAUGCAUUACUCAUGGCUGUAGCAAUACCAAGAGUGUCAGCAUUAGGUCUGGUUUCCCGAGCCUCAAUUCCAAGGGACUAUGUGAAGAGGGCUGUGUGAGACGUGUACCCACAGUGGCUUGUGUUACAGGAGAGGUAACCUGAAUCUCAGGUUACCAAGCUUUGGCAAUCUGAAUCUUUUAUAUGAGCAAUAAGCCAGCCUGAUCUUUGCCCUAGAGGGAGAUAUUGUUUCUAUUAGACUAGACAGUAAGUAGACCUGCUCUUUGUUCCAGAGAGAGUCAUCAGUAUUUCUAUCUUCCAAGGCUAUUAGCUAUACAAAUAUACUUGAAAAAUUAGUCUAGACCAAAGGCAAUAAGUGCCUCUGCUUACAAUAUAUGUAAAACCAUAAGAUACAUGGAGAAUCAUCUUCCAACAUUUAGAAGCCAUUUGCAAAUAUAUAUAUAUAUAUGCAUAAAUCAAAAGAAAAAUAUUUUUACUUUAAAACAACUGUGAACACUUGGUAAUGGGAUUGUGCACCUGCUGGGCACUGCACAACUCCUCAAACCUUGGAAUCAGAUUGGACAACGCCACCCCAUUCCCUGUCCCACAUUGAUUUUCUCAUAGUACUUUUUCUCAUUGCAACCAUAGCCUCACAAAGGUAUGAUGUCAUCAAAAGGAAGUAGUGUAUUCCUUUCUCAAUGUUGAAACUAUAAACCACCUAAAGCUGAUAGCAGAUGUGGUGUCUGUCAGAUGUUGAGGAUCCUAUUUUCCUCAAAAGUGGAACACAUCCUGUGGUUCUCCUGUGAGUUCACUGAGGCUUUCUGGGACAAUCUGGUGCAUGGUUUGGGAACUACAGCACUAAACAAUGGUGGAAGAAGCUCUUGAUUCUGAGUGGCCUUGUAGAGUAGCUCUGUCUUGAUAGCCUAGACUAAAUGGAAUGCUCUAUCAAAGAGAAAAAACUUCUAUCCUCUUUCAGUCAAAAUUUUCAGGCUUUUUGUUGCGGUAGGACAGCUUUUAUCCUAACUAAUACAAUUUCCUACAUAAUUUUGGCUAUGCCUCAUAAUGUAGUAUUUGAGGACAUACGUUCUCACAUUGUAGAAAAAAAUUCCUGUGUGCUUCUCUUGUCUUUCCAGCCUCAAUUAUCACCUCAGUCAACAUUUAUUGAACCUUCUUACUAUGCCCUAGCACCGGGCCAAGCAUCCUUUCAAAGUCCGAAUCCACUUCUGUUCCUAAGUCUCCUCAGUCUCAGGCUCAGCUGGUCUUUAGCCAAGUCUGAAGCAAGGCCACAUCCAUCCAGCAAGCAGAGUCUGGAAGUCACACUGAUGCCUUACUCCAGGAGUAGCUGGUAUACUUUUGUUGCUGGUCAGGCUUGGGCCUGGAACCCAGUGAGUACUCAAGUGAGCUGAACCGAACCACAUGGAUCAAUCUUUUUUUUUUUUUUUGCCAAUCUGAUUAGGACUAAGACACUUCAGACCAAAACCCAAUCUGACACACCCAGCAAGAGACCAGGAAAGAAGCACACCAGCAGCAAGACAGAGAGUGCUGGUUUAUUCUAGCACUGAGCUGGCCUGGACUAUUACUGGAGCAGUGAGCCCUGUGUACCUGUGGAAAAAGGCACAAGAAAGAGAGCAGGCUCAGCCGUCAGCAGCGGAAGGGAAACAGAGAAGAGGAAUGGCUAGGUGGGCCUUGGGUAGCACUGGUAGAAGCAGACCCUGUGUCAACUUCUGUAACAUGGGUGAGGUGUACAUGCACACACACACACACACACACACACACACACACACACAGCCAGGAGUGAGCCCUGAUGCCCUCCAACUCUACAGCAUGGAGAAAGAAGACAACGCUGAAGAGUUCCAAUCCUCUCACACCUAAAAUGAAUGACAUUUUAAUGCACAUUGAUCACUAGUAAAUUUGACCCAAUAAGAAUCCUAGAAUUUGAACAAUCCACGCCAAUUUUUCGUCUUUAAAAAAAAAAUUUUUUUUUUAGUUUAUUUUUUGAGAGAGGGAGAGAGAGAGAGAGAGAGAGAGCAAGGAAGGGGCAGAGGGAGAGGGAGAGAAAGAAUCCUAAGCAGGCUCUGCACUGUCAGCGCAGAACCCUAUGCGAGGCUGGAACUCAUACACCAUGAGAUCAGGACCAAAGCCAAAAUCAAGAAUCAGACACAACUGACUGAGCCACUCAGGCACCCCACCAAUUUUUCUUCUUGAGGAUAGCACAGAGAGGAAGAAAAAAAUGAAGGAUAAAGGAGCUUUGGUUCUCCUAAAGCUCAUGGUUUUACUACUACAGGAAGAAUUUAUGUACCUAAAUAUUUCAGAGGGGUUUAAAAUAAAACAAGAUUUUUUGUAAAUUUUAAAUAAUCUAGAGAAUUUAUUAUGAUCUGAGACCAGAUACCUGGUUUCAAAAUCAACUUUUAUAUGUAAUUGUUAUUUUUAACUUGUAGGUUUGCUUAAACCAUUAUGUUAUUGAAAAUAAUACCAUCGCUUUACUGAAAAAGAAAUAUAUACAUGAUAAGAGAAUUAGACGGUACAACUCCUAGCCAAUAUGAUGGGUGAAAAAGUGAUACUUUGAUUUUAUUGGCACUUCUUUAACCAUGAAUGAAGUUGAGCAUCUCUCCCAAUGUUUAAAAGCUUUAUCUGUGGGUUGCCUAUUCACAUCAUUCACCUGUUUUCUUCCUUAUUAUGUUGUUGGUAUUUUUCUUAUUGUCUUGUAAGAAUUAUUCGUAUAUGAAGGAAAUUAACAUUUUGCCUAUCAUAACUGUUUUAAGUAUUUUUCUAAGGUUUUUCUACUUUGUUAAAGGCAUUUUUCCAUGCAGAAAUUUUUAAUCAUUUAAUAUUC
Molecule: long non-coding RNA, 20687 nt
Organism: Acinonyx jubatus (cheetah)
Lineage: Eukaryota; Metazoa; Chordata; Mammalia; Carnivora; Felidae
Exons: 6
Source: RefSeq, a predicted model, not a curated record